AAUACGUUCCCGGGCCUUGUACACACCGCCCGUCAAGCCAUGGAAGCUGGGGGUACCUGAAGUCGGUGACCGCAAGGAGCUGCCUAGGGUAAAACUGGUAACUGGGGCU
This 109-nucleotide ribosomal RNA is filed under the name uncultured bacterium. RNAcentral describes it as "partial 16S ribosomal RNA". It matches the Rfam family "Bacterial small subunit ribosomal RNA", at positions 1365 to 1482 of the family's 1533-position model. The record is from RNAcentral.